GACGAACGCUGGCGGCGUGCUUAACACAUGCAAGUCGAACGGAAAGGCCCUGCUUGCAGGGUACUCGAGUGGCGAACGGGUGAGUAACACGUGGGUGAUCUGCCCUGCACUUCGGGGUAAGCCUGGGAAACUGGGUCUAAUACCGGAUAGGAGCCAUUUUUAGUGUGAUGGUUGGAAAGUUUUUUCGGUGUAGGAUGAGCUCGCGGCCUAUCAGCUUGUUGGUGGGGUAAUGGCCUACCAAGGCGGCGACGGGUAGCCGGCCUGAGAGGGUGGACGGCCACAUUGGGACUGAGAUACGGCCCAGACUCCUACGGGAGGCAGCAGUGGGGAAUAUUGCACAAUGGGCGCAAGCCUGAUGCAGCGACGCCGCGUGGGGGAUGACGGCCUUCGGGUUGUAAACUCCUUUCGCUAGGGACGAAGCUUUUUGUGACGGUACCUAGAUAAGAAGCACCGGCUAACUACGU
This 464-nucleotide ribosomal RNA is filed under the name uncultured bacterium. RNAcentral describes it as "partial 16S ribosomal RNA". It matches the Rfam family "Bacterial small subunit ribosomal RNA", at positions 28 to 506 of the family's 1533-position model. The record is from RNAcentral.